UUAUAUCGCAGAUCUGAUUUGCCACAAUCCUUAAUAAUGAUCUCACUUUGAUCUAACUCAAAAGAUGAAUCUCAUGGUUUUGGACUCUUGAAAAGAUGAUUUCCAAUGCGAAAGUAGGGGUCUCCAUGAUUAUCGUUUGGUCCUUCAAGAUGAUAAGGAGUAGUAUUAGAACCAUAGUACAUAAAUAAAUAAUAAAAAAUAUAACUAUGACUCAUGGAAGUAUACCAUUUGGCCAUGUUAAGGAAACAAUAGGAGAAAGGUUUUUACAACCCAAAAUGAUCUUUACUUACACUUAAUUAAUUCAAAUCGACUAAUAAUUUGAGAAGGAGCAUUAUUGGAAAAUCAAGCAAUCUAGAAAGGAUCAUUACAAUGAAAGAAAGAGCUUGAUUAAAUUAAAAAGAGAAAUGGCUUAAGAAGAGGGAAAGGAAAAGAAAAGAAAUAUUUUUUGGUCACAGGGGGUGACAGCGAUGGCGGCGGCUUGGCGAUGGUCUGACAGUAGAGGAGCUAUGCCCGACAGUGGCUAAGCGACGGUCCAAUGGUGGUGGAGUUAUGUGGUUCGGCUAAGGAGAAGGGAAGAAAGGAGUAGGUGAAGAAAAAUAGAACAAAAGUGGAGGAAGAGGAGGACUUGAGAUGGCGCACGGUGGCAAUGGGAGGAGGGAGAUGAAAAGAGUGGAGGUGCAACAGCCAUGUGAGGUAGUGAUCGAUGGAAGGAGGUUUGGGUUACAGUGGAGGAAAAAAAGGAUGAUUAAAGGAGUGGUGGUGGUGGUUGGCCAAAAUGGAGAGAAAAAUGUGAGAAAAG
Molecule: long non-coding RNA, 799 nt
Filed under: Gossypium barbadense (sea-island cotton)
Lineage: Eukaryota; Viridiplantae; Streptophyta; Magnoliopsida; Malvales; Malvaceae
Description: long non-coding RNA (GBAR_LNC020937)
Source: RNAcentral